This 94-nucleotide non-coding RNA is filed under the name human gut metagenome. Its description in RNAcentral is "THF riboswitch". It matches the Rfam family "THF (Tetrahydrofolate) riboswitch aptamer". From Rfam's summary of the family: THF riboswitch presents a pseudoknot that joins P1-P2 and the loop of P3 and two THF binding. RNAcentral also lists the same sequence under 1 other name. The record is from RNAcentral.
GGAGUAGGAGAUUUCGCGUUAAGUACCGUUCGGAUGGGAGGUUGCCGGCGGGCGAAGGGGCUGUGCCCCGCGAUGAAUUUUCCGCAACCGCCUG